CUGAUAAGCGCGGCGACACUUACAAUACAGACACACAAGCAUAUGUACAUCCCAUGCCCACACUCUCAGCUAGAGAAUAGUAUAUAAGCAAUGCUCUGGUCAGGCAGGCAUAUACGGACGGACGGACGAGGCAUUGAGUACUACUUUCAGUUUGAGGCUGUUGUUAAGGCUGAAUCACAACUUUUCUCGAAAAGAUCAGCGAUAACUGUUAAUCUUCCAAGGCCCAUUAGGUGAUAUACCUUUUAUACAUGUACAUAAGCAUGUGAAUGUAAAUGGAAAAUUGCAGGCUGGAAUGUUUAGCUAAAAGCGAAUCGCGAAAACACUACUCUAUGGAGCUUCUUCCAGAAGAUGUUUGGAAUUAGGUCUCUGAACUUGCACAACAGGAGAAAUCUGGACGAUGGAUGGAUGGAUGGAUGGAUGCACUAACGGUACAACAUCAACUGAUGCUGCAACAACAACUAAUACUAUUAUUCCCUCUAUCUCUAUGUACGGUACAAUUUUUUAUGCGCUUGUUCUUAUUUUUCUUCGUUUUUUUUUUUUGCACUUAAUGACGUGUAACGAGCUCGCGCGCGUGUUUUGCAGUUGUCUUUGUGUGCGCGCUCUUUCUCUCUCUCCCUCUCUCUCUCUUGAUCCCCCUCUUUCUCUCUGCCCCUCCCUACCUUUCUUUGGUGAGCGAGCAGCAUACAUACAUAUACAUAUGUACUAGCGAUUGGCGGACUAUGCGCGUGCGAGCGAGAUGCCACACUUUGAAAAUAAACAGGUAAAAAGAAUAGGGUGUAAUGAUUCUGGACAGAAGCUUGAACCGGCAAGAAGGAAGUGUCUCCAUCUGUCCCUCAAUAUUCCACCAUUUUUAAAGAUGAUGUCUCAAGGAGUUCUCCACAGAAUAGUUAUAAAUGUAGCCACACAACUGUAACCCACAUCUGCCACGGAACUAAUCGACCCGCUAGGGUAUCUCUGCGUCGGUCCCCCGAGGCUAGCAUUUCUCUCUUCUUUUUUUUUUUGCUGGUGCUGCUCUUGCUGCUCUGCCCGCCUUUUAGUCAGAGGGGGACGGGGGGACUGCAGCUUUUUCUGUAUUAUUUGAGUGAAAUGAUCGUCAGCAAACAGACCAAGUGGCUCGGCAGUUUCUGUUGUUGUUGUUGUUGGUCAAUAAUUAUCAAGCAUACAUAAAUAAUUAGUCAGCAAGAGCUGACCAUGAAAAUCAGCAGAAAAAAAAACGAGGGAGAAAUCAAUGUAAGGAAAAGUGUUUACAGCAGCGUUUUAGUUUACUUUAGUACAUAAGGCAAAAAGUAUAUGGUACGAGUCAAUAAUGAACUUCUCUAACUCGAAGGUACAUACAUAUAUUUUGCCAGCUUGAUUAUUGCCAUUUACAGCAUAGAAUACAUACAAUGUUUGACGAAAAAUCAUCUGGCCUUCAAGCUAUAGCAAGCAAGUUAUCCAUUUAGGUGUAUUCCUGUUCUCUACAGUUAGAUGAGGGGCUAAUGGAGGGGAAGGGACCUCAAGAAGGAAGCAACUUUCUGGCAUUCAACUCUUUUUCUUCUUCUUCUAAGCAACCCCUGUUCGAAUUCGAGGAUAAGCCAGCCGCAUAAGACAAAAUUUCGAACAACAAUCGAAAUGAGCGACGGAGAGGGGCAGCGCAGCAGCAACGACAGCGGCAUCGGCAGCGGCAGCAAGUCAUUUAAACGGUCAAUUGCCUCAGGCACAAAAGCAAAUGUCCGAAUGAGAGAGAGAGAGAGCUACAACAGCAGUCACAAAAACAAAAAACUAAACGAAAAGAAGAGGCGGCACGGCACUGCAAGCGACGGGGAGGAAGAGGGACAACAGCUGACAGCUGAAAAGUGCAGGCCAAAUGCCGAAAAAAUUAAGCAAAUGUUUUUCAUAUUUCAUUUCUCACCUAAAAAGAAAUGUUGCCAUAACCAUAAAUACACAUGUGCGUGCAUACCUACAUACCAUAUGUGCAUAUGUAUGUAUGUAUGUACAGCAUGUACAUAUAAAUUAU
RNAcentral lists this small RNA (1996 nucleotides) under Drosophila pseudoobscura pseudoobscura. Its description in RNAcentral is "GA30976". Lineage: Eukaryota; Metazoa; Arthropoda; Insecta; Diptera; Drosophilidae. The record is from RNAcentral.